RNAcentral lists this long non-coding RNA (549 nucleotides) under Marmota monax (woodchuck). The record is from RNAcentral. Lineage: Eukaryota; Metazoa; Chordata; Mammalia; Rodentia; Sciuridae.
UUUGGAAGUGUUAGAGUGAGAAUUCGUUUACUUAUAUGGAAGAUCCCAGGAGCUGCUUGUCUGUAGACUUGAAAACUUCUUUGAACUGAAAGGAACCUUGACAAUUAUCUAUGAGGAAGCAGAGCCUCAGAAAGAACAAGUCCUGUGACCACAGUCACAGGGCAGAGUUGGAACUGGAACCCACGCUUUCUACUCAGUCAGAUGAUCGCUGGUGGCAGAAUGCCUUGAAGAGCCCAAGGAUGAGGUCCUAAUGCAAGCCAAGCAAGGGCAAAUGAGAAAAGGAUCCAGGGCAGACGAGAAGACCCAAUUUGAGAAUUGGGCAGAGAAGAAAGGGCACAAUAGCCCAGAAAGCCUUCGCUCAGUCAUGGCAUGUGCCACUGCCACUCAAAAGCCACUAGUCAUGGCAAGUCACACAGACAAGGAGAGAACAUAGCAACUCAGGUGUCAACAGCCAGGGAUAAUGCAGAGGACUGCAAGUUUGGGUCCCCUCCAAGACUCAUCUGAUGCCAUUCUGCCCCUCCAUGUGGUAGUGUGAGGAGGCCUUUGGGA